GACGAACGCUGGCGGCGUGCUUAACACAUGCAAGUCGAACGGAAAGGCCCUGCUUGCAGGGUACUCGAGUGGCGAACGGGUGAGUAACACGUGGGUGAUCUGCCCUGCACUUCGGGAUAAGCCUGGGAAACUGGGUCUAAUACCGGAUAGGAGCCAUUUUUAGUGUGAUGGUUGGAAAGUUUUUUCGGUGUAGGAUGAGCUCGCGGCCUAUCAGCUUGUUGGUGGGGUAAUGGCCUACCAAGGCGGCGACGGGUAGCCGGCCUGAGAGGGUGGACGGCCACAUUGGGACUGAGAGACGGCCCAGACUCCUACGGGAGGCAGCAGGGGGGAAUAUUGCACAAUGGGCGCAAGCCUGAUGCAGCGACGCCGCGUGGGGGAUGACGGCCUUCGGGUUGUAAACUCCUUUCGCUAGGGACGAAGCUUUUGUGACGGUACCUAGAGAAGAAGCACCGGCUAACUACGUG
RNAcentral lists this ribosomal RNA (464 nucleotides) under uncultured bacterium. RNAcentral describes it as "partial 16S ribosomal RNA". It matches the Rfam family "Bacterial small subunit ribosomal RNA", at positions 28 to 507 of the family's 1533-position model. The record is from RNAcentral.